RNAcentral lists this ribosomal RNA (1421 nucleotides) under uncultured bacterium. Its description in RNAcentral is "16S ribosomal RNA". It matches the Rfam family "Bacterial small subunit ribosomal RNA", at positions 8 to 1386 of the family's 1533-position model. The record is from RNAcentral.
AGAGUUUGAUCCUGGCUCAGGAUGAACGCCGGCGGUGUGCCUAAUACAUGCAAGUCGUACGCACUGGCCCAACUGAUUGAUGGUGCUUGCACCUGAUUGACGAUGGAUCACCAGUGAGUGGCGGACGGGUGAGUAACACGUAGGUAACCUGCCUCGGAGCGGGGGAUAACAUUUGGAAACAGAUGCUAAUACCGCAUAACAACAAAAGCCACAUGGCUUUUGUUUGAAAGAUGGCUUUGGCUAUCACUCUGGGAUGGACCUGCGGUGCAUUAGCUAGUUGGUAAGGUAACGGCUUACCAAGGCAAUGAUGCAUAGCCGAGUUGAGAGACUGAUCGGCCACAAUGGAACUGAGACACGGUCCAUACUCCUACGGGAGGCAGCAGUAGGGAAUUUUCCACAAUGGGCGCAAGCCUGAUGGAGCAACACCGCGUGAGUGAAGAAGGGUUUCGGCUCGUAAAGCUCUGUUGUUGGAGAAGAACGUGCGUGAGAGUAACUGUUCACGCAGUGACGGUAUCCAACCAGAAAGUCACGGCUAACUACGUGCCAGCAGCCGCGGUAAUACGUAGGUGGCAAGCGUUAUCCGGAUUUAUUGGGCGUAAAGCGAGCGCAGGCGGUUGCUUAGGUCUGAUGUGAAAGCCUUCGGCUUAACCGAAGAAGUGCAUCGGAAACCGGGCGACUUGAGUGCAGAAGAGGACAGUGGAACUCCAUGUGUAGCGGUGGAAUGCGUAGAUAUAUGGAAGAACACCAGUGGCGAAGGCGGCUGUCUGGUCUGCAACUGACGCUGAGGCUCGAAAGCAUGGGUAGCGAACAGGAUUAGAUACCCUGGUAGUCCAUGCCGUAAACGAUGAGUGCUAGGUGUUGGAGGGUUUCCGCCCUUCAGUGCCGGAGCUAACGCAUUAAGCACUCCGCCUGGGGAGUACGACCGCAAGGUUGAAACUCAAAGGAAUUGACGGGGGCCCGCACAAGCGGUGGAGCAUGUGGUUUAAUUCGAAGCUACGCGAAGAACCUUACCAGGUCUUGACAUCUUGCGCUAACCUUAGAGAUAAGGCGUUCCCUUCGGGGACGCAAUGACAGGUGGUGCAUGGUCGUCGUCAGCUCGUGUCGUGAGAUGUUGGGUUAAGUCCCGCAACGAGCGCAACCCUUGUUACUAGUUGCCAGCAUUAAGUUGGGCACUCUAGUGAGACUGCCGGUGACAAACCGGAGGAAGGUGGGGACGACGUCAGAUCAUCAUGCCCCUUAUGACCUGGGCUACACACGUGCUACAAUGGACGGUACAACGAGUCGCAAGCUCGCGAGAGUAAGCUAAUCUCUUAAAGCCGUUCUCAGUUCGGACUGUAGGCUGCAACUCGCCUACACGAAGUCGGAAUCGCUAGUAAUCGCGGAUCAGCAUGCCGCGGUGAAUACGUUCCCGGGCCUUGUAC